UGGGCUCAGCAGGGCGGCUGUGCCCACAAAGGGUCCCUGUGUGUGGCACACAGGCAAAUGGGAGAGGGAAAUGGAGCAGCCCCAGCUCGGGCAAUAAUUCCUGACACAGCCCUGCUGUGGGACACAACAACUGCUCCUCCUUUUCCAGAGCACUCCAGGGUGAAAGAUUUGCAGAUUUUGGGAAAAACACUGACUUUCAAUGCCCUUAGACCUUUGCCAUCACUCCUGCAUCAGUCCAGGCCAUGCAGGAGGGAUGGCAAAGGUUUCAGGGCAUUGAAACCUGGACACCUCUCCUCUCCGUGGUGUCCAGGUCUUUCAGGGGGGAAUGUGACCAUUCCUGAUGUGCAGAGCUUCUGCAGGACUUGCUUUGACUCACCUGCUGCUGGUUGGGAAUAUUUGUUGCAUUUGACCCAGAGGCAGUCUUGGUGAGGAUAAGAAUGAAGGAGGAUGCAGGAGCCAAAGGAUGGAACCAGAGGAUGGAGCCAAGGAUGGAGCCAAGGAUGGAGCCAGAGGAUGGAGCCAAGGAUGGAGCCAAGGAUGGAACCAGAGGAUGGAGCCAAGGACGGAGCCAGAGGAUGGAGCCAAGAAUGGAGCCAAGGAUGGAGCCAGAGGAUGGAGCCAAGGAUGGAGCCAAGGAUGGAGCCAAGGAUGGAGCCAAGGAUGGAGCCAGAGGAUGGAGCCAAGGAUGGAGCCAGAGGAUGGAGCCAGAGGAUGGAGCCAGAGGACGGAGCCAAGGAUGGAGCCAGAGGAUGGAGCCAGAGGAUGGAGCCACCCUUGGUGGCUUUGCAGGGUGGCUGCAGGUGUGGCACAGGAUGUGUCUGAGCCCAGCUCCCGGUGGUUCCAGGUACAACCAGCAACUCCCAGCUCUCCAACUGGGAUCAGGCAUCAGGGAAAAAAGGAACACAAUGACUGAGCAGGUGGGGGAAGUCUGGUUCAGGUGACUCUCAGCAUCUUAUGGAGGAGGGAUAAAAAUCCCAGUGUCCAGGGAAG
This 990-nucleotide long non-coding RNA is filed under the name Zonotrichia albicollis (white-throated sparrow). RNAcentral describes it as "lncRNA (ENSZALG00000013958.1)". The record is from RNAcentral. Lineage: Eukaryota; Metazoa; Chordata; Aves; Passeriformes; Passerellidae.